RNAcentral lists this unclassified non-coding RNA (351 nucleotides) under soil metagenome. RNAcentral describes it as "partial contains 5.8S ribosomal RNA, internal transcribed spacer 2, and large subunit ribosomal RNA". The stretch from base 1 to 120 matches the Rfam family "5.8S ribosomal RNA", at positions 35 to 154 of the family's 154-position model. The record is from RNAcentral.
GAUGAAGAACGUAGCGAAAUGCGAUACGUAAUGUGAAUUGCAGAAUUCAGUGAAUCAUCGAGUCUUUGAACGCACAUUGCGCCCCCUGGUAUUCCGGGGGGCAUGCCUGUCCGAGCGUCAUUGCUGCCCAUCAAGCACGGCUUGUGUGUUGGGUCGUCGUCCCCUCUCCGGGGGGGACGGGCCCCAAAGGCAGCGGCGGCACCGCGUCCGAUCCUCGAGCGUAUGGGGCUUUGUCACCCGCUCUGUAGGCCCGGCCGGCGCUUGCCGAACGCAAAACAACCAUUUUUUCCAGGUUGACCUCGGAUCAGGUAGGGAUACCCGCUGAACUUAAGCAUAUCAAUAAGCGGAGGA